UUCUAAGCUUCUGAAUUUGAUCAUGUAUGCUUGAUGAAAGCAUUGCCCAAGUUCCUCUUCAUUGUUGUCAUCUUCAUCUCCUUCGUAUUGUUCUCAUCGCUUGCUACUGCCUCUUCUUCAUGAAUUUUCCCCUGCGUCCGAACAGAACAUAUACCAAAAUAUAUAUCUAUUGAAAAGUUUAUGAAAUUACUUUUCCAACGAGUGAUCAUUCAUCUAAAAUGGAGUUCAAAUGAGAGAGUUAUGCCCAUUUUAUUUUAGCACCGUGUGCUGUCCAGAACUGAUUUCAAGACACACGACGUUCGAUGAUUUGACCAUAACCACUUGUAGGAAUCUCUGAUUGCCUUGAUUCUUAAUUUCUUGGAACAUAGACUUCAUAUAGCUUCUGAAUAUCCAAAAAUAUUCUGUUUUUUUCUUCUAAGGUUGAGCCAAAAUCUCGAUGACAAUAGUAGUUUGUCGUGCAUUGAUCCAGAGAUGUUGAUGAUCUUGAUCUAGUGGUCUUUUGGGCAUUAUGUCACACAUCCUUUGGCUUCAAGGUUGUCACCAUUGCUGCAGCAGGGAAUAUCAUGGUAGAAAUGAUGCAUCUUCUCCAUAAUUCUUGCUUUAGCCAAGGUGUCGGGAUCAGAGGAGGCUCCAACGCUUUGUGUCGACGAUCUGAGCAGUUUUCUUCCUUAAUUGCAUCACUCAAUUAGAAGCUUCUAAGCAUCCCACUAGAGAAGAUUGGUAGUGUCAUGGUGCUUCUAAUCUUGUUUCCUCCAGUCUUGAUCAACUCCUAAUCAUCACCUUUUGUGCAGAGAGGUUCUCCAAUCUUUCUUUUCUUAACAUGUUUGCUUACAUCAUCAUCACCUCCUUCGUCGCUCUUCACUGCUGCCUGUUCUCCAUUGAAUUCCUCUUAGUUCAGUAUAGAAC
RNAcentral lists this long non-coding RNA (906 nucleotides) under Setaria viridis. RNAcentral's name for it is "long non-coding RNA (SVIR_LNC000709)". Lineage: Eukaryota; Viridiplantae; Streptophyta; Magnoliopsida; Poales; Poaceae. The record is from RNAcentral.